Molecule: ribosomal RNA, 168 nt
Filed under: Omosudis lowii (hammerjaw)
Lineage: Eukaryota; Metazoa; Chordata; Actinopteri; Aulopiformes; Alepisauridae
Description: partial 12S rRNA
Source: RNAcentral
CACCGCGGUUAUACGAGGGGCCCAAGUUGACAGCCAUCGGCGUAAAGAGUGGUUACGGAUUACCCCUACUAAAGUUAAACACCCCUCAAACUGUUAUACGCGCCCAGGGGCAGGAUACCCUACCACGAAAGUGACUUUAACUCUCCCGAACCCACCACAGCUACGAAA